AACCUUAUGGACCUGCGGGCGUAUACCUGCGGAAGGAUCAUUAUUGAAAUAAAUUUGGUUGGGUUGUUGCUGGCUUCCAACUUGGAGCAUGUGCACACCUAAUCUAUAUUUCUAACCACCUGUGAACCUGUGUAGAACUUGAAACAACUUUCAAGCAAUAAUAAUAACUUUUGCUUGGAUUGAGAAUUGCUGAAAUCAGCUUUUCUUAUGUUUCCAGAUCUAUGUGAUUAUAUACACCAA
This 240-nucleotide unclassified non-coding RNA is filed under the name soil metagenome. RNAcentral's name for it is "partial contains 5.8S ribosomal RNA, internal transcribed spacer 2, and large subunit ribosomal RNA". The record is from RNAcentral.